Long non-coding RNA from Esox lucius (northern pike), 576 nucleotides. The record is from Ensembl. Lineage: Eukaryota; Metazoa; Chordata; Actinopteri; Esociformes; Esocidae.
ACCGGUUUGGGAUGGUGCUACGGCGCGAAGUGUUUGCGUAGCACGAUUAUGUUUUUGUUGUGCAGGUCAGCUGGAUGUGACUUCGAAGUUUCAGUUUAACAAGGUAGUGGGAAAGCCCCCGGACCGUUUCAGUUUGGCUUCAAGUAGCUCUGCAAGAUCUGAUUCUGCUCAUCGAGUCAGCGGAGGAAAUGCGGACUUUUGUCACUUUUUCUACAGGAUAAAUGGCUGCAGUACACAUACGGUAGCAAGUUGAGACAUGCUCACCCAGGCAAGGUGGUGAUUCUCAGAGGGAAGAAUGCACCAUAAGUGGAUCCAGCUGAUUACUGGCAAUUUGGAGGAAGAUUGUUCUUCAUAUGCUAUGUUGCACUGUCUCUUCUACAGUCACUGACAGAGUCAUUGACCUGUUGUGCUAUCUUUUGAUUUUACUUUACUUUGUUUCCAACCCCACUUUAAUUGAAACAGUGAAAAUCAUAUAGGUGUUUCAAUUUAUUUAGCAUUUCUUCAAUGUUUUCAAUUGAGUAUAUUUCACAGUAAUCUUAAAGCUUAUAUUUUAUGUGAAUUUGAAUAAACAUCUGC